RNAcentral lists this unclassified non-coding RNA (239 nucleotides) under Hevea brasiliensis (rubber tree). The record is from RNAcentral. Lineage: Eukaryota; Viridiplantae; Streptophyta; Magnoliopsida; Malpighiales; Euphorbiaceae.
AAAAAAAAAAAAAAAACAGAAAGACAGGCCCUGGAGAAAAGCUAAAGAGAGCAGACGAGGACCGACCUCUUCAGGCUUACUAGAUACUAAUGGUCUAAUCCAGUGCCUACAAUUUUUUUUUUAACAGGAACCUUGUGCCUCGUGGUGGUGUCUAAUUGUUUUCAAGUUAACAGGCACGUGGUCUUCACGUCUUAUACCCCAUUCCUCACGCUUUCCCCCAGUCUUUGCUUUUAUUGUGG